AUAACUCAUUAUCGGGAUUUAACAAAUCCUCUUGCAGCUAUGUUUUGUUUCAUAUUUUCAUCCGCAAGAUUUAGCAGAUGCUGCGAUUGUAACAUGGAAACUGUAGGGCUACUCAAGGUUGAAAGAGAGACGGGCACUCGGUAGGAAGCGAGGGAGAGAAAAGGGGCUUUGGGCACAUCUUCAGAGGAAUAAAACAUUUAGGAGCCAUAAACAGACUUCAACCUGCUCUAUUUCAGCCUUUGUGUUGUUUGUGAAUAAUUAAUGUUAAUAGGGACAAGUUUGUAUACUUUGAAUGCGGGACCACAGGUGCGGAGUGACAGGAUGAAUAACCGGCCCCGAUUUUUGCCAAAGCUCGAGGGCUCUUGUCCAGGGUCUCCAAGCUGAUGGAAAAUAUUGUCAUCUCUUUGAUUCGCAGCAUUACUUUCACCAGGAACAAAGCCGGGUGAUGAAAAGCUUAUGUUGGAGUGAAACGGGCGAUGACGGUGGCCGCUUCAGACUCCUGAAAGAAAGAGAAAGGAGGCGAGUCAAUAGCAACGCGCGCUUCAGGUUUUGUGCGCAAGUGCUCCAUCUAAUUCAAAUAAAGGAGCCUUUCCAACUUUUAAAGGACCACUUUUUGCCUUUAAUAAAGGCUGGACGGCUGUAGCCAUUAAGCAUAUGGUGCUAAGGCGCUGGUCUUUUGUCCCCGUCAAGCCCUUGAGAUACUAACUUGUGUUCUUCUCUGGAUAUUUAACUUCUCAAAAGGUCCAACUUUAUGCGCCGGCAACAAGUGGCUCCGGCGCGCACAAGCAGCGAAUCAGGGAAGAUAGAAGGAAAUAAUAACAGCGGAACUGAAAAGAGAAGGCUUUCUGAAGGACAAACACUUUGUAUCAUUUAAGGGAAGUGCGAACAGUUCUUGUAAUUUCGAGCAGGGGCGACGUGGGCUGCUUUGGAUUUGUUUCAACCGAAUUUGUUUACUUUUUGGCGCAUGGGUUUUCGUGAAGACGCACGGAAAAACUGGGUCUGAAGACUGUGUACGGAAAGUUUAUUGUAAGUGCCUCAGAAUGCAUGAGUGAAAUGAAAUCAGUUACACCAAACUGUCACUCUGUAAUGUGUUAGACUUUUAUUUACGUCGGUCAAAGUAAUGCGUCCGGUGCUACUUUGGUGUUUGAGUGAGAGAGACGCUCUGUGGGAGAGGAUGUGUGAGAAUAGCCUACAUGAUACAAAAAUUCAACUUUAGAACUCUCUAAUACAAAUAAAAUCCAUCGUUAGAACUCUUAUUUCGGCUGCAGUUUAUCCGUGCGUAAAAGCCGGAUACGUCUUUCCACUUUGGUCUCGUGCGUAAUGAUGCGUCUGCUGCGCGGUGCGAUAUCGGGGCAGGACUGUGGCGUGUCUCUCCCUCCCCUAGUGACGGCAUCAAGGAGACGUGACAAGCAGCAUCACUGACCAGUACGAGUGGAUCGUAUGAACCACUUCAAGGGGAUGCCUUAAAUGACAGCCGUCAGUAUAAUGAAGAGUCCGUCUUCUGACGUUUCAGACACUCCGGCCACCUGCAGCGUUACUUUCUGCCUGUUCAUACAUAUUCAUCAGGAUAGUCUCAACAUCUUUGGUCUAAAAAGAAAUAAAGGUUCGACUAAGUGUCGAAGAGUAGGAUUUUGUCGAGACGGUGUUUGGGAAAUGGAAAAAUGUAAAGAAACAGAAAUAAUUGUACCGACGGAUUUAGUAGAAAUCAUCUUGACAUCACAUCUUCGUUUUUUGCAAACUUGCCAGUCGGAUCUGCCUGUACACUCAUUUUACAUAUUCCUUUUCAGCCUUCAAAUAUAGAAAGAUAUAAAGUUGUUAGAGGGCAUUAUACAACAAUUACACUGAACACGACUCUGAAUCUGGUGUGUUAGUUUCUAAAUAAACUACAUCUCAGUCUGUCAAAGGGAGGCAGAUUAAUGAUACUUCCAAAAUAUUUUAGUUCCCUGGAUGUCUCGAUCUUAAACGUGGAAAAUGCACUUUAUGAGUUUCGCACUCUUUUCUCCCGGUCUUCCAUUGAACGGACUCAAAGAAAAAAAACCUCCUGCCUUCUGUUCUAUUGAAAUGAAAUCACUGAAUACCGGUAUUAUAAGUGUGAGUGUGUGUUUGUGUGUGUGGAGUCGUGGAGCCAGUUGGCCCCUGAAAACCCCCCUGGUGGACGGAACACGGCGGGCUGACCUCUACGCCAGAGGACGGGAGAUGCGCCUUUGACCGAAUUAGCCAUAAAGACGUCUUGCUAUGAUCUUUGUUGCGGCUGAAAGCAGAGUGGAUAUGAGAGGCAUUGUGCACAGCUUUUGCGUGCCCCGUCAUGAAAUAUUACAAUUUAUUCAUAAGGAAGCUGGUCUGAAAGGAUAUGGUAAUGAAGUAGACUGAGAUGAUCCCAGAACGGGUCCCAGAAAAAGUCCGAGUCCUAAGACAAACCGGAUAAAUCCGUGUUCGAGUUUGGAGUGAAACAGAUCUCAGACUUGGGAUUCAUGAUUUUUUUUUUCGAUCAGAAACCUUCAACUCCGCACGUAACACGUUGACUAAUGAUUCGUUGUCUUUAAAAAAAUCCCUGAAUAACUCUAGAAAAGGUGAUAAAUUACAAAUAUGCUAAUUUUAGUCACGGCCGUUUGUACGUGUGCGUCUCCAUCCAUCUCCUGCUCUCUGCGCUGCUGAUCCCCGUCGUGCGCAAGAGGACACUCAGCCCGUUCAGACCGGGCCCUUUUGUUCGCCUCCAGCACUGACUUUAGCCUCUAGGGAAAAAGUUUUUUUUUUCUCUCUCUCUCUCUUGGUUUUGUGCCCCCCACCCUCUGCACUCCCAUCCCUUGCUCUGUCAGUUGCCAGGCUUCAGAGGUGUAAAAGCAUGCAUCAUUUUUCACCAGCUCUGCGUUUUGAUAUCGACAAAAGCGGCUGCUAUGGAACAGCCUCUCCGCUUGUUCGCUGGCUUGAACUUCACUGAUGUCCGACUGCUCUCUUUUCCUCGUCUGAACGCAGCACAGCAGGGAUGGAUUUGCAAGACAAAUGCAGCUGUGUGAGUGCGAGGGAGUCAAGUGGCACAAAAAGGCCGUUUCAGUCAGCCCAUGGCAUGGAGAAAGUCAGCAUUAUGCGGGCGUCAAAUCAAUCAAAAACAAAAGCCCCCAUACACAAACUGCCGAGUUUAUGGAGCUGAAAUGGCAGCUAUUAACUUGUGUAGAGCAAACACAUUUUCCUUAUUCAAAAAGGAGAGUUAGUUUGAAAAAAAUCAGGCAACAUACAUGAAUAAACGUUAAUAAAGCUGGAUAUUUGCUUCUGUACUCAAGUACUGAUGUCUUUAUAAUGAAAGUAAAGAAUAAAAAGUUUAUCCAAAAAUGACCUAAAGGGACAGUGAAAGAGAAGCUUUAAUUGUGAAUGUGGAGUUUUUUCUAACUCUGUAACUAAGUCAUCAAAUAGUUUUACUCAAAUGGACAAAUAUUCCGUGGAAAAGACUAAAUCAAUACCAUCGUGAUAAGUUUUGGUUUAAUGAACAGGUACUGUCCAGCUAAUGGGGCUUUUUUAAACAUGAACUGAACACACAGGUCUUUCAAGCCAGCAUACAGAUAUAGUUCACUUACAUCACUUGCGUUUAAAGGUCCUUACACACCGGGCCGACGCGAACAUACGAUGCGAAAUUACAAAAUAUGGAUGGAAGCGAGAAGACUGACGCAAUAGCAGACUGACUGUUUUUCAGUUCUGAUUAGACACUAGUGUUGAGAUAGUUGUCUGUUAUGAUAGCAUGAACUGAGUCAGGGCCAGUACCAGAUAAGCACAUUAAACUAUAAUCUAUAAAUGUAAGGUAACAACCGAGACCAAAUGGUGCUGUGACAGCAAUGUGAUUGAGUUUGAGACAGUGAAAAUACAUAUGGUAUGUUGUAUCUGAACAGGUUAGCUUACGAGUUAAAAAGUUACUUAGCACAGUUAAAACAGAGACGUUUAGCAAACUGUUAAAGCACACAAACUAUCGUCAUUUGAGAAAUCUGACACUAUGACUCUCCCCAAGUUGUCCUUCAGGUUGUUAUCUUUGUAAUGUUUGUUUUAUCAAAAAGCACUCUGUUCUCUGACACGUAAAAAAUUAGCCAGUCGGCCAUGUUGGAUAUACCGGUGAGUCACAACAACACGCUAUCUGAUUGGUCAGAAGUGGACACACAGUGUGCGAAGCUUGCAUUGACAGGAUAUGGGUUCGAGAAAAAAAAACGUCAAAAACGGUCCCAGUGUAAAACCUUAACAGUUAAACCAUGUUCCUUCAUUCCUUCAUCCUUCAAUUAGAAAUAGACUUAACUUCAUCAUUUCAACCAUUUCCAUACAAAAGCGGUUAAGUAAGUUCAAGUGUCAGGGAUGAAUUUUGGUGAACAGGUUCUCUUAUUGAGUGGAAACAGACUGCAUCAUGAUAAAGAAACCAUCAACUCCCAUUUUCUAAAUGUCAAUCAUGUUUGUUUAAGAUCUCACUUUAUGUUCUGAGUUUUGGACAACGUACACAUCAGUGCAGAUAAUUCAGGCAUCACUCUUCCCCCCUGGAUCAUUGUCCAGCAGUUUGGUCAAGCGCUACAGUGGAUCAAAUAAAGAAACAGUAGAAAACAGAGAGAGCAGCACAUUCAGCUGUCCAGAUGUUUGCAAAGUACAUGUUUGUUUGGUUCAAUCAGGUUCAAUCAGGUUCUUCUACUCACUUGGUGUCUCUAGAGCAGUGGUUCUCAAGUCCAGUCCUGAGGCCCACUGUCCUGCACAUUUUGGAUGUUUCCCUGCUCCAACACACCUGAUUCCAAUGAUCAGCUCGUUAUUAAGCCAUUACAGAGCUUGAUAACGAGCUGAUCAUUUGAAUCAGGUGUGUUGGAGCAGGGAAACAUCCAAAACAUGCAGGACAAUGGGCCUCGAGGACUGGACUUGAGAACCAUUGAUCUAGAGCUUCACCGUUCAUUUUAUUUUGAGCUGAUCUUUCAGCUUAGACACCCUAAGAAAAAGGCUGUAGCUGCGUUUUCUCACAUUUAGGGCUACACAAUCUGCUUUGUCAUGCUCAUUAUUACGACAACCAAAUGUCAGGAUAUACUGACUGAUAAUAUUAGAUUAUUACUUCAUGCAUAAAUGAAAGACAAAUUUCAGAACAGGCUUUCUCCACAGUAAUAUUCAUGACAUACUUUGACACACAAGUAUCUAGGCUGAAGUGUCAGUCUUUCCUAUCAUUGUGAGGGGCAUGUUUCAACCAUUUUACUCAAAUCCAGACAUCAUCUUUCUCCUGAAGCAGCUUCUGCAAACAGAAAGCUUGGUAAACACCUUAUCUCACUCAUUGGCUAUGUUCACACUGCAGGUCAAUUCUGAUUUUUAACCAUAUGUGACACAUAUCGGAUUUUUUCAUGUAAGUGUGAACAGUGCAAUUCAGAUUUUUUCAACUCCGACCCAGGCCUCUUUUGUAUGUGGAUAUAAAUCUGAUAUGUAUCCGAUGUGACUGCAGUGUGGACGCUCAGGUUGCGUUCAUCCGACCUAUACGUCAUCAAUAUGCGACAAAUGUCACCAUUGUUCGGAAAGCAAUUUGUGCUUUGUGCGCAUGCGGGUCACUUCACGGACACAUUCCAUUUACAUUAGAUGCCGCAUUCGUUGUUGUAAUGUGAACGGCCACACAAAAAGAUUGGAUUUAACAAAAAAACUGAAUUGUGCAUCAUAACCUGCAGUGUGAACGUAGCCUCAGUCUUUCCUUACCUGCUGUGAUUAAACGGUCCAUACAUUAUCAAUAGAACAGUAAGCAUUAAGAAAUGCUACGCGUCCUCUGCUGGUUUGUGCAGGAAGAAUCGAACUCAGCUAACACACUCACAAGUACAUUCAACAAAAGUGGACAUGAUGAAUUGAUCCUGAUCUUGAAAAUCUGGCUGAGAUAACACAGCCCCUCCUUGGUUUGAUAACACACUUAAAGGCUGUGAUCUAAGUCGAUGAUUAUUGAUGUUGAGGACUUCAAAUGCUAUUUACAUCAGAAUAUAAUACAUCUGUUUGUCUUGUUUGAGAGAAAUACUCAUGGUCUUUUUACACCCUAAUCCGCGCAAACUGGGAUACAAUGCAAGACCAGAUUAAUCUUUAAGUGUAAAGACAACUUCAACAUGUUUUACCUUUUUCAGAGGAGAUGGAGGCAUGCAAAACUCCACUCUGAAAUGUAAUCAUACAUCGGAUAGAGUGCACAAAACAGAAAGAGGAAAACAUAUGUGAGACCUUCUUCUCGUUGUCUGUUUCAAAGUGAUAAUGCAAGUGAAAUAGAGAAAACAGCAUGGUGUUCAUUUCCUGAUGUUAUAAAGGACUCUCACAGCUCCUCUUGUCUCUCUGCAGCUGGAGCCGACCGUGCUGUGAGGCAGAGCCAGUGGCUGGUGGCCAGUGCUGACUGGGACAGCUUCCAGCCUCAGAGGGUCUGUGAUUAACCCAGGAGCGGUCAAACUCGGCAGGAAGCCCUCCACAACCAGCCGCUGCUAUUUAUCCACUCGCCAAUGAAACCAAUUACUUUUAGAGCCAGCCUUGCUGCCACACUAUGUGUGUUGUUCCUGCAGACCAAUAGAGUAUUUCUGUGAAAGGAAAGGCAGACGUGAAGUAGGAAACCCUCCGGAGCUGCUUCAACAGGCUGUAAAAUAUACCUAAAGUCAGUUGCCAUGGAGACGACAUGAUGUGCAAGAGAAGCUUGAAUGAUAAACAAAGCUUUUCCAUUCAACCAAGAAUUCCACGAUAAAUAUUUUUUUACUUAUCUCCCAACAAGAAACAGUUUUGUGGUUGUUUCCAAGGUGACAAGUCAGCCACAUCACAAACGUUCAAUGAUUUCACACUGUGAAGUGAGUUUUGUGACUACAGGACAUUCAAACUGUCUCAUCAAACCACCCACCGAACCAGAGUAUGGGUGUUUUUAUUCUGAUGGAGUUUAAAGGUCCUUUCACACUGGGAUCGUUUUUUUCAUGCAAUUAUUUUGGACGUCAAUCUUUUUUUUCAAAUCUGUAUCCUGUCAAUACAAGCGUUCACAUCAGUGAUGUUUUCCCAUCCUGCGACAUUGCGGCAUUUAGUUUUUCAAAUCACAGACGAAUUUUUUAAGUUUCGCAUACUGUGUGUCCACUUCUGACCAAUCAGAUUUCGUGUUGUUACAACGUCAGAUUCACCAGUAUAUCCAACAUUGCUGACUGCCUGAUUGUUUAUGUGUCAGAGAGCAGAGUGCUUUUUGAUAAAAGACACAAAUAUUACAAAGAUAAUGACCUGAAAGACAACUUGUGGAGAGUCAUAGCGUCGGAUUUCUCAUAUGACGAUAGUUUGUGUGCUUUAACAGUUUGCUAAACGUCUUUGUUUUAACUUUCAUCUGUGCUAAGUAACUUUAGCUUGUAAGCUAACCUGUUUAGAUACAACACACCAUAUGUAUUUUCACUGUCUCAAACUGAAUCAUGUUGCUGUAACAGCACCAUUUGGUCUCGGUUGUUGCCUUACGUUUAUGGAUUAUAGUUUAAUGUGCUUAUCUGGUACUGGCCCCGACUCAGUACAUGCUAUCAUGACAGACAGCCAUCUCAACGCUAGUGUCUAAUCAGAACUGAAAAACAAUCAGUCUGCUGUUGUGUCAGUCUUCUCGCUUCCACCCAGGACGUGUCUUUUCCCCCCCCGUAAAGUUGCAAAAUCGCAUCGUGCUCAAUGCGUAUAGUCGGGCGCGUCAAAAUUCGCCCCAAAAUAUUUCAUAAUUUUGCGUUGUAUAUUUGUGUUGUUCCCAGUGUGUAAGGACCUUAACUCUCACUGACUAAUUCAUCGGUCCAAGUAGUUCUGCUGCUGCUGCUGCUAAUGGAGUAUGGUAUCAAGAGAAGACUCAAGGAGAGAUCUGCUCUAUGAUACAGAAUAUUUCUAUACAACCUUCAUUCCAGGAAAGUGGUUGUUGCUCCUCUGAAGUUGUCCAGGCCCAAAGUUACCCCGAAGUCUGACUCUUUUCCACAUUCCCAUGGUUUAUGGAGUUGUCUGCAUUUUUGGGUCAUAAAUACAGUUUCCUUCUUGCACAGUUCAUUUUUAACUCAUUUGGUGGAGAACUGUGGUCACUGACAAAGGUUUUUAAGAGAUGAUUUAGAGCCCAUGCAGGAAUUUCCAGUACAGAGGAUCUGAAAAAUCAAGGCCAUAGUUUUUGAUCUUGUGCUUUUCCUGCAGAGAUUUCUCCUGGAGGUGAUGAAAUCCUCAAGCUCUCCGCAAUUUGAGGAACAUUUUUCCAGAUUUGUUUAAUAUUUUAGUCUCUCACAGAGUGGUGAACCUCUUCCAAUCUUUCCCUCUGAGAGACUCAGCCUCUCUGAAUGCCCUUUUUAUACCCACUCAUGUUACUAACCUGUUGGAAAUGAACCUCUUAAGUUGGAGAUGUUCCCCCCAGCUGUUUUUCUAAAGUGUCAUUUUUUGUGAAGUUUUGCUGGCAUCAAAUGAACAUUUAUUUAAAUGAAUAUUUAUUGUUCAUGUUCAAUGUUUAUGUUGUCUUUGCACUGUUUUUAGGUUUUGAAUGGUUUGCAAAUGACCAGAGCCUGUUUUUAUUUAUUUUUGUAUCAAGUGUCUGUGAAACUUAUCCGUCAUGUUUGAAGGGUGAUAAACUAGCUACAAAUGUUUGCAUUUGGACUGUCUCACAGAUGUAUUCAUUAAAGUGAUGUUCAUUAUUUUUCACUUCAUUGUUCCCUAAUUCAUUUGAUUUGAUAUUCUUUGGGCUGUUAAGAAUAAGUGGGAUGAUUCCGAUUUUAUUCUGAUCUCUGUGAGUCCAUUUCAGUGCUUGAACUUUGAAGGUCCUUACACACAGGGGCUGACACCAAUAUCGAACGCGAAAUCAUGAAAUAUUCAGAGGUGAAUUUUGACACGCCUGACAAUACACAUCAAGCCCGAUGCAAUUUUGCGACUUUCUGUGAAAGACACAUCCCAGGGAAGACUUUUCUGGGGAAAAGUCCUGCCUCCUUCGCCUGAAAAUGCUGGAAACGUCAUCACAUGCUUAAGCCAAACGGUCAGCACUUAUAGCCAAUCAGAGGCGAAGGAGGGUAGGACCUUCCCUUACCAUCCUACAGCGUCCUGGGUGGAAGCAAGAAGACAAAAAUGGAGUCUACUUCAACUUCAAGUGAUGGAGAAUUGGUACUCCUUUUGCUUUCUCAAAAGAAAAAGAAACGUAGCACAUGGGUGCAUCAAAUAUUACAAAAAAGAAGAGAACUUGCUGAGUUUCACUGCUUGGUUCAGGAGCUGAAACUGUACCACGGUUGCUUCAGAACCUGUUUUCAGAUGUCCGUUGGUUCUGCUGAAACAAUUAGCUCCAAGUUUGAAGACGCAGAGGACUAGACACUGGUGUUGAGAUGGCUGUCUGUCAUGAA
This 9302-nucleotide long non-coding RNA is filed under the name Xyrichtys novacula (pearly razorfish). Lineage: Eukaryota; Metazoa; Chordata; Actinopteri; Labriformes; Labridae. The record is from RNAcentral.